RNAcentral lists this ribosomal RNA (301 nucleotides) under uncultured bacterium. Its description in RNAcentral is "partial 16S ribosomal RNA". It matches the Rfam family "Bacterial small subunit ribosomal RNA", at positions 509 to 807 of the family's 1533-position model. The record is from RNAcentral.
CAGCCGCCACGGUAAUACGUAGGGUGCAAGCGUUAAUCGGAAUUACUGGGCGUAAAGCGUGCGCAGGCGGUUAUAUAAGACAGAUGUGAAAUCCCCGGGCUCAACCUGGGAACUGCAUUUGUGACUGUAUAGCUAGAGUACGGCAGAGGGGGAUGGAAUUCCGCGUGUAGCAGUGAAAUGCGUAGAUAUGCGGAGGAACACCGAUGGCGAAGGCAAUCCCCUGGGCCUGUACUGACGCUCAUGCACGAAAGCGUGGGGAGCAUACAGGAUUAGAUACCCCUGUAGUCCCUGUCUCUUAUAC